RNAcentral lists this ribosomal RNA (460 nucleotides) under uncultured bacterium. Its description in RNAcentral is "partial 16S ribosomal RNA". It matches the Rfam family "Bacterial small subunit ribosomal RNA", at positions 338 to 795 of the family's 1533-position model. The record is from RNAcentral.
CCUACGGGUGGCAGCAGUGAGGAAUAUUGGUCAAUGGACGAGAGUCUGAACCAGCCAAGUAGCGUGAAGGAUGACUGCCCUAUGGGUUGUAAACUUCUUUUAUAUGGGAAUAAAACGUUCCACGUGAGGGAUGUUGUAUGUAUCAUAUGAAUAAGGAUCGGCUAACUCUGUGCCAGCAGCCGCGGUAAUACGGAGGAUCCGAGCGUUAUCCGGAUUUAUUGGGUUUAAAGGGAGCGUAGGUGGAUUGUUAAGUCAGUUGUGAAAGUUUGCGGCUCAACCGUAAAAUUGCAGUUGAAACUGGAUGUCUUGAGUACAGUAGAGGUAGGCGGAAUUCGUGGUGUAGCGGUGAAAUGCUUAGAUAUCACGAAGAACUCCGAUUGCGAAGGCAGUUGACUGGACUGCAACUGACACUGAGGCUCGAAAGUGUGGGUAUCAAACAGGAUUAGAUACCCCUGUAGUC